RNAcentral lists this long non-coding RNA (12110 nucleotides) under Marmota monax (woodchuck). Lineage: Eukaryota; Metazoa; Chordata; Mammalia; Rodentia; Sciuridae. The record is from RNAcentral.
UUAUUCUUUAGUUGACUUUUUAUUCCCCAAAUUCAGUCUUUUUUUAUGUCUUACUUUGGUUACUAGAAUAGCUGUUGACCUCUUUUCCUUGUCUUCUGCUUUUCCCCACUGCAGUCCAUUCUGCCUACUAUUGUCAGGCCAGUUUUCCAUCUUUUCUCUUCGUUUUUAUGAGCAUGUGGGCAUAGACGGGAAGUAGUUCUGCACAGAGGAAAUGCCACUAAGAAAGGCAGUGCAGUUGAGUUCAACCAGUGCAUGAAAGAUGAGGAGUGGUUAAGUCAGAAACUGCCAGAGUAUGGGGAGAAGUGAGGUCAGAGGCAAGCUAAGAGCAAGGAUGCUGCUUUAGUUGAGGAAGUUUAGUGAGGGAGUUAGAGCUCCCUCAUGAUAAACUUAAGCUUGAGAGGUGACUUUUUGAGAUCUCUGAUUUUUCUUUAUAUAUUCAGCACCAAACAUAAUUUCUGGUUCAUAAAAAAAGUUCAGUAAAUGUUUCUUUGAUAAAUAAACAGCCUAAAGAUCCAGCAGAUUUUAAUUUUCAAAUGGCAAUAACAUGAAGUGCAAAUUGAAAGGUAGUGGCACUGGAUACAGUAGACCCAACACAUCCACUCAUCAGAUGAGAAAGCAUGAGAAUGAACUAAGGCAGCACCUUCCUGUAAUUGAAAAGGGAGGUAAAUUAAAUUAUGUAUUUUAUAGACAAAGUAAAGCAUAUUGUUGUAAUACAAUUACUUAUAUCACUGGUCCAUUUUGCUUUUCAGAGAUUUAGACAAUGAGUUUUAAGAUUAUAUUGUUCUCAUCCUAUAAACAUCUUUUGCAUAUUUUCUAGUACUAAGUAUUAUUAACUUAUUAUUAAGAAAGAUGUUUUAAGAAAAUUAAGCCUUAGAUGUGUUUAACAUAGGAUAUUCCAGAAGAUAUUCUUAAGAAUUUAGUGGAAGAGCUGCCUCAGCCUCGGAAAAUUCCAAAACGUCUAGAUGAAUACACCCCGGAAGAAGUAGAGGCUUUCCCGAGAGUAUGGUCUCCGUAAGUGUCUUUUUUCCUUUCUUCUUGUUUUUAUUUUUGAAGUCGAACUUGGUACCCUUGUUGUCUUCAGAUAAAUGAUAAGAUCUUUUAGGGUAGGAAGAGCCAAUUCAUGUUUUUACUCCCUUGUGAACUCAGCAGCUACUACUUGCAAAUAACCUCCAGAUGUUAGAUGUCAGAAUCCUGACCAUCUUGCUAGGUAAGUGCAAGGAUGAUGUCAGGUAUUUCAUUUGGGAUCUCCCCACCUGGAUAGACUGUAGUCUUUUGGAAUGAUAAAUGCAUUGUCAUCAACCUAAAAUGAAGGAAUUCUGUUUUUCUUAUUGCUUCUUAAGCCAAGAAUAUCAUCUAAUGAAAAGUCAUUAAUUCUGGAAUUUUAGUCUUGAUCCAAAUAGAAAAAUAAAAUCUUUUUCCUCUCUUCCAUACAAUUUUCUCUAUCUAAAAUCCAUAAAGCUGCUAAGAUUUGACAGGCUAUCUCCCAUCUAAUUGUUUCCAGGCUUCUUUGCCUGGGAUAUACAGACGAUGCAGCUCUAAAUGUCACUCCUCAAACAGUGCUUCCUGUAGUGUUUAAACUGGUUUAGUCUCCUCAUUAUAGGGUCUCAUUGUAUACUUUACUUUUCAUUUGCUGUGUUUAUUCUAAUGUAAUCAAAUAUUUGUGUGAUUUUCUGCUUAAUGUCUAGAUUUCAUGAGGGAACUACAUGCUUGUCUUCUUCAGCUCUGAUUACUGUACCCUACACGUUAAGUAUCUCUGAUUACUGGACUCAACAAAUAUUUGUUGAAUGGAUUAAUGCAGAUACAGAAUCUCCAUUAUCAGCUUUUAUAAGUGAAGUUAGAAAAGAAUAUCUAGAAGAUAUGAAGUAAAACACACUUUAUUUUUUCAUAGUAUAGAAUAAUAUAUUUAAUAUAUAUUUAUGUAUAAUAUAUAUUUAAUAAUAAUAUAUUUCCCUAUAUAUAAAAUCUCAUUUAUUUAUAUUCAUAUGUAUUAUUUAUCACUGCAUAAAUAGCAAUAAAAAUAACAAGGUGGUCAGGCACAGUGGCACAUGCCUAUAAUCCCAGUGGCUCAGUAGGCUGAGGCAAGAGGAUUGCACAUUCAAAGCCAACCUCAGCAACAGCGAGGUGUCAAGCAACUCCGUGAGACCCUGUCUCUAAAUAAAAUAGACUCAGUGGUUGAGUGCCCCUGAGUUCAAUCCCUGGUACCAAAAAUAAAUAAAUAACUAAUAAAACAUUUACAGUGUGCUUAACAUGGAUUAACAACCUGUUUCUGAGCAAAUUUGUGAACAUUAUAUUACAAUUUUUAUCCCUGUUUUUUAUGAAGGAAAAAAUAUUGGCAUAGAAGAUAAAGUAAUGCCUAAAAUGAUGUAAUUGUGAGUGGUGGGUUAGGAUUCAAGCUGAAGAUGACUAGCUCCUGGGUCUUGCUUCCAGCUACUCUGCUGAGUGCUCCUUGUUAAUAGUGAUUAUCAAAUACUAAAUGUGCCAAACAAGACAAAGUUUUGGUGAUGUUCUAAGUACUGAACAGCUUUAAGGGUUGAGGAGGCAUCAUCUGGUUCAGAAUUUAUAUCCCCAACUCUUCAUACUUGGCACAUUGUAGGUCCUCUGUAAGUGUUUUCAUUCUGAGUCCAUUUCCUUGUCUGAUUCAAUGUCUUCCACUGUAAAAUGGAGCUAAUUCAUUUAUUAGAGGAUUGCAGUAAGGAGUGAGCUAAUGUGCACAAAAAUGGAGUGCCCUGGAGGUGUUCGCCAGGUUUUGUGUAGGGAAUAUUUUUGCUUUUACAAAUUCAUAUUGUUUUAGCAUGCUUGCUAAUGUAUUUUAUAUAAGUGCACCUAAGUUAUAAGCCAUUCUCAAAUAUUAUGUUUUGAUAAACUAUAUACUAAAAAGGAAUUUAAAGUAGUUCUUGAAGUUUUGGCAUGUUACCUUCCUGUAACAAAUUCUGUAAAUAUAGGUAUGUCACAUAUUCUUAAAGAUACACCAUCAUAAAUGAGUGUAUAUUCCUAGUCAAGAGGGUUGUUACGCCUUUUUUUUAACUAGAAUUACCAAAGGUGCUAUUAAAUAUGUGACCACAGUAUGAACUUUGAGUUUUAUUUAUGUAUGUAUGUAUGUAUGUAUAUAUAUAUAUAUAUAUAUAUAUAUGUGUGUGUGUGUGUGUGUGUGUGUGUCUGUGUGUAUGUUUAUAUAGAGGGGGGUAGAAUGCUGAAAUGUGCUUUAAAUCAGUUCAGUCAAAGCAGUGCAAUCAUAUACUAAACCAUUUACAACAAAUUAUAUUUAGUGUUAUUAUAAUCAAAUGAAAUCACAGCACUUAUUUUACUUAGCAAUUCUUGCUAUGUUUUAAAACAAACUGAAAGGUGACUGUUCAUUAUGUUAAUAGAAUUAGGAAAGGCUUUUAGAGACUUUUAGACAAACUUACAGCUACUUGAUGCAUUUUUAGUUACUUCCCCAGGAAUGAGUUUUCCUGUCCUUUCUUUUCAUUCCAGAGUUCCCUGUGACAGGAAUAUGCAUUAGACACCAGGCUUUCCUUUACACUUUAUUAAAGUUGUGAUCUUUUCUCAUUACUUGUCACACAACAUAUGUUAACUUGUGUUUCCAGACUAAUAAAGUGGAAAUACAUUUACUGAAACUUAAGAGUAUAUCACAGUAUAGGUAUACUAAUCAUUUAAUGCAAAUAAUUCACAAUGUCAUUCUCCUUGCAUAUUGCAGGUGUCAUCAAGUCCAGUUAGCUUGUUACAUGAAAAUCAUGUGACCAGGAAAAGAAUAAGUCAUUUUUGGUUCACCAAAAACCUUGUCUAAGAAAUAGAUGAUCUUUCAGUUCAAGACUAUUUAGUUGCACUUUCUGCAAUAAGAAAGCUUUAUAGCUGAACUUCAUAUAGAGUUACUGGCCACAUGUGGCUCCUGAGCACUUGUACCAUGGCUGGCGUGAGUGAGGAACUGAACUUUUUAUUGAAUGUAAUUUUAAUAAAUUUAAUUUCAGUAGACACAAUGUGGUUAGCAACUUACUGGACCAUAUCACCUUCAUUGUUUUAUUAUUUCCUAAAGGUCUUAUACUUUAGAAUUAGAAUUAAAAUAUCUGAUACACCAGGCCAUUCAGUGCAUUGGAAAUGGAAUUUCUCAUUAUUGGAAGGCUUGCCUUUACAGGAAGAAAUAUAGUUUCUCCUUCUGGAGGAACCUACUUAAAAUAUGCUUUUGCUCCACCCAAAAUAGCUAAGCCAAAAAUAUAAUCUUCCUUUGGAAUGUACUAACUGGAAUUUAUUCAACAUAAAUCUGAUGAUGAAUCUGCAGAGACUUGACUGGAACACAUAUACCUGAAUUUCACCACAAGUAAACAGACACAAAAAUAGCUUGCUUUUGUUUUUUAUUCCUUAGCAAUAAAACUUAAAAUAUAUUUAUAAUAUAAAUGUAUACAUCAUCAUUGGUACUUUUGUUAACUUUUGGUAAAAGGAAAGCUCAUUGACUUUUCUAUUAGAGGUUAGAAACUUUUGAACAACAGUAAUAAUUGUCAGGCUAAGCUUUGAGUCCUGUAGAUGACUAAUAGAAUUGUUUUAAUUAAAACCUACCAUAGUUGGGAAUUUAAAUAAUUUUAAGUCACUGACAAAGCUUGUAUAUUUACAGCUCUAAUUUUAACAUAUGUUGUAUUUUCUUUUGCUAGUUAUUAAUUGUGCAGUCAUUUUUAAAGUAAUGGGGAAAAACAAAGAAUGGAACAGAUAUUUAUGACAAAAUUAUAAAUAAUUUCUUUAAAAGCUAUUUUCCUAUAUGGGUAGUAUUGGCCAUUCAUCUCACUUCUUCAGUUAGUGAAUAUAUAUUUGGCAUAUUAGUAUUUUUUACACUUCAUGAAUAUAUGAAUUUUGCAAGAAAAUGUUAUGAAAUAUCUUAUUUCUCUUGGUGGUACAGAGCAGAUGUGUGUUUUCCAUGAGUAAGUGGUGAUAUGGGGAUUGCACUUAGAAUUUCUUUUUAUGAAAGGAAAGGAAAAACAAUAGGGCUGUCCUUUCAUAAUAGUUCACCUGCCUGAAACUGUUAACUUUUAAAUGGAUAACUCAUUUUAAUACUAUCAUAAUUAUCCCCAUAACUGUUGCAAUUUUGCCAACACAUUACAGAACUCCAACUAUCAUGAAAAUUAUAAUGCUAUCACUGUAAUCAAAUUUAUUAUGUAGACUAAAAAUAACAGGUUAUUUAAAUUUUUUAUUUCCAAUUUUUAUGAAAUUAUGAGGUGAGAUUUUUUUCUUAGGAAAAUCUACAUAGAUGGGAAAUCUCAAAUUGCUUCUCAUUAUGAUUUCUUACUCAUUAAUUCAGUAAUGCUUUAUUUUAAGCAAAACUCUCAACCUUUAUAGAGAAACUUAAAUGUGAAAAGUUUCAGUAUUAAUGAAUGUUUGAAAAUACAUAUUUAUAAUGAAAAUCCAUAUUCCUGGUGUUUACUUUUUACAGAGUGUGUUACAGAAGUGUGCCUGCAAAGGAGAGAUGGGUGGAAAAGAUGAAGGUGUGAGGAUGGCCAUGACUGGCUCUGUAAUUUUCUUUCCAGUGGUUAGGAUUAGGAUUAGAGUUCAAUAGGCACUCCAUCCAGCUAGGUAAAAGGAAAGCAGGGCUCCAGCAGCUGAGAACUGUAACCCUAGAAAAGGGCACUGUUGAGCAUUCUUCAGUCUGCAGCUCUAGAAGAGAAUAAGGACUUAAGGUAGUGUAUGCUCCCCUAAUAUGAAAGCUAUUAAUCCUCAAAGUUUUAAGUGAUGCUGAGCAAAAAAUUGUACCUAUGUCUUUAGAAAGAGUGCUUUAGAUCAGAGAGUUAAAACACAGUAAGGAAGGAUUUUUACCUUUUCCAAUCCCAUAAGGAGCUGGGGUCUGGACAGCUUUAAGAUUUUCCAUAAUUUUAUGCUAGUCUAGUCAUGUGGCAUUUUCCCAGAAGAUUUAACUUAAUUUGCUGCUCUUUACAGUCAGAAGUUAUUAGCUGGACUUAGGGAACAAGGUUACUUUCCAACUUUCCCAUCCAUUUCAACCAGCUCAGCAUUGGCUUAAGCCAUAGACCUCAGUAUUUCCAGUGCUGCUGAGUUUGCUCAAAUUAGGUAUUCUAAGUAGUAGUGUUCUUUGAUAUGAACAGGUCAAGACUGGUUGUUAAAAUAAAAAAAAAAGGAAUCUAUUUAAAACAACAAAAAACAGAUUAUUUACAAGCCCUAGCCAAUAUAGAUUCUGAUUUUUAAAAGUGAUAAUUGAAUGUAAUGGCACUUCCUUUUCAAUUUAAUUAAAAAACAUAAUUUGAAUUUUAAACAUGAUAAACAAUCAUGUGAUUUUAGAUUGUUUUAAAGCACAGUGUGAUCAGGGUAUGAGAAAGCUGAGUGCCCGAUGGAAAUGUGUAUAAAGUGCCAUCACUGAAAUUUACUCUUCCCUGUCCAGCUAACACAUUUAAGAACCAUGUGCUGUACCAGACUGCCUGGAAUGGUUUAUUCUACGUAUUCUGUCUGUGCAAUAGAAGUGACUUAAAACUCAAUUAAACUGACUUUUUAUUGUUUUUUCAGACUAUGUCACUGUUCAGAUUUUAUUGUAGUCUUUUAAAUGGUGUCUAGAAUAACUAUUAUACUAACAAAGACCAGAACUAAGGGAGAAGAAAAUAUUUUUGAGAUUUAUUAAACUUAAGUUAUGCCCAGUUUCUUAGAUUUACAACUGAGAUAUGAAUGCUUUUUUUUUAGAAAAUAAAUUAUGUUAGGACUAAUAUAUUGUCACUAAUUUAACUGUAGUAUAAACAUUGUGCUAAAUAAUCUUGUUUCCUUGUAUUUGCAAACUACAUACAUUCUUUCCACCAGUAUACAAUAUCCACUAUAAUCUCUUAAAGUUUUUUUGAAGUCAAAAGAUUCUUUUUAAAAAUGAUGCCAUUUUCAGAAUAAUAUAAAUGUGUUGACCUCUAUCAUUUCCAUAUUCUAAAUUUGAAUCUGUGCAUUUCUGCAGUGUGCCUGUUUAUUUAAUAGGUGUCAGAUGAUGUUUUGCAUAGAGACAUGUGUGAUAAAGGAUUUACCCUACAAAACAAUUACAUAAGAUGUGGUGUGAUUUGAACAGUUAAGAGCGAUUUCAAGGAAACUAGAAUAUUUUCUAUGGCUCAGACAGGCCCUUUUGAUGUAUUUCCUCAUUCAAAAAAAGUAAUUUUUUAAAAAAUUAUGUUGUUUAAAGGCAAUUUUCUGUUGGUGAUGAAUAUUAUUGGCCAAAUAGAUUGUUGCUAUGGAACAUUUGCUAGCUAUGAAAAAUACAGAAAAUGAAUUAAAGAAAAUCUUAUGUUCGAUCAUUCUUGGAAGAUUCAAAAAUCUUCCAAGUAUAUCCUAAGUACACAUGAAAGUGGAAACUUUUACCUUUUUCUUCAAAGGUCAAAAUAUCUGUGUGCAUAUAAUUAAUGAAUUGUAUAAAAUCUAUUAUAUGUUAUAGCUAUAUUAUAUAUUAUAUAUAUUACAUAUUAAUAUCUCUCUGUUAGGAAACUCUCUUUCUCCUGACACUACUCCUGUAGCCAUAGCAGCACCGGACCACUCAAUAAAUAUGUGUUGAAUGAAAGAAUGCCUGAACAAAUAGAUGGAAUCAAAUUCUCUGUAAAAGAUAGAAAUUGAUUUUUAAUUAAUUGUUAUAGUUUAUAUUUAUAUUUUGGUCUUUGCUGCCUUUUUAACACUUUCUUAAUAACUUCAGCUAAGGUACAAUUUUUCCUUAAUAGUCUGCUCUAAUGCAACUGAUAUAUAUAAAUUUGGAUACUUUAUAUUACAUAUCUAAAGAAAGAUCAUGGUAAUUUUGUUAAAAUACAACCUGUAUUUCUGCUGAGGAGUAAAUUUUUAUGAUUUUCAUCAAACCCAUAAAAAUAAGUAGGCAUUAGCUUUCUGUAAAGGAUUUGAAAUCUCUCUCUCCAAAGAUUACCUAAGAUCACUUUAAGAAUGCUAUUACCAUUAACAAAUACAUUAACAUUGCAUAAUGCCUUUUAAAAGUUGAUAAUUGGUUAUUUCCAUUGAAAGAGUUACAGAGAAUUAGGACAAAAGUAGAAUACAAAUUCACCUAUCAUCCCUCUGGCAGAAAUUCAAGUCAUUUUAGUAAAGUUUCAGAUAUUUAAGCAGAUGAAAAGCAGCACAAUGGAUGCCAAAUUUUUUGCCUUAAAAAUUACUUAAUGUUAUAAAGAGAUUAGGCAGAUUUCAGGACAGAAUAGGAUAGAUAUGUAAGGAAGAUAAUCUGAUAAUUCAAUCCUAGUUACUUAUUUACCACAGGGGUCCCCAUCUUUUAAAGAACCUAAAUAUAGUGAAAUUUACUUGAUAUUAAAGGUACUUAGACUACAAUUUAAUCUCUCUUUGAUGAUGGACACCAAAGAAAUUUCAGUAGCCAGCCUUAUUAUAGGUUAUUAUCACUAAGAUAUGUAUUGUAUCAGAAAAACACAAUACUGUCUGUGAAUGUAGUCCUCUGUUAGUAAAGAGCCAGGAAAGAUACUUUAUCUCAAAUGGAGUCACCUCUAGCUGAGGAAGCCUGUUGCCUUCUGUUAGGCACAACAGAGUGUUAAAAAUUGACUUUCUGAAGUGCUUAUUUUAUUUUCAAACUUUGUCAAGAAAUUGUUUCCUUCUGUCACCAAGGAGCUCUGUCCGAGCUUAACCCUUGCUAGAGAGUGAGGGACAUGAACCAGCAUUUUGUCGUGUGGAACAUGUUAGGAAUACAGAACUAUGAACCUGCUGCAGAAUAAAUGAAAUCAGAGAUACGUUUUUACUUGAUCUCUGUGCCCACUCAAGUUUGAGAAACAUCAAAGAAAAUAGCUCUUCCAUCACUUUUUUAUAUUAUCAUAGGUUUUCUUCUUUUAGUGGAAGGGAGGAAGCAGUGCAAAUAAGUUUUAUGUGUGCUUACUUUUGUGUUUGAAACAGAAAAAUAGAGUCAUUUUUAGUGCAAACCUCUUUUCCCCACAUGGGAACCUUCUGAAGUCAUAUGAUGUUGUUAAUUGCCUCCACUACGAAAGGAUGUUUCUAGCCAUACUAGUGUCUAGAAUCUAGUCCAAUGGCCAUGACACUGUCCACCCCCCAUCCUCUCCUUGAGAGCAAGCUAAUUAUCAGAAAAAAAAAAACCUGAUUAUGUGUCAGGAGGAAGAGGAAAGGAUGGAUUUGUAAACAAAGUGGCAUAACAAAGGCAGUAGCUAUGCAGCAUGACAGGUUACCAGCAUCCACACUCUGCCAAGCACUAUGCUUGUUGCUGGGAAUGUAAGAUCAAUCAUGAUGGUACUCUGUCACCAAAGGAACUGGCAGCCUAAUAGGAGUCAAAUGGAAUAAAAUGGCCCUUGCAAGCACUGGAAUCACAUGAUCUGCCAUCAAAUCCCUGCCAUCUUCUUCCUAGCUCUGUAUCAUUAACAAAUUACUGAGCCACUCAGCCUCAGUUUUGUCAGUGCAAAGUCAGUUUAAUAGCAAUGUCUUUCUUUCAAAGUGGUUGUGAGGAUAAAGUAAAAUAAUUAACCUGAAGUAGUUGCUACACUUCGUGACACCUAAUAAACAUUCGGCACAAGUAAGUAAAAGCAAGUAUAAUUUAAGAAACACUGUGGUAGAAGUACACAGAAAUUUUCUGGGAAUCACAGACAAAGGAGGCCUGCCUGGCUUAGAGAGGGAAAGUAGGGAAGAGCUUGCCAGAAGAUGUAACCUUUGGGGUGAAUUUUGAAAGAUGACUAGUCAAGUUUGCCAGCAGAGAAAAGAUAAGAGAUUCCAAGCAGAGGACAUUUCAAGUACCCGAGUCAAAUCCAGCACUGUGGAGGUUUUUAUCUGUGAAAUAGCAGGCAGUGUGGAGGGACUGGGGUGCAGAAAGACAGGAUAUAAUAAGAAUGACUCAGAGAGGUUAGCUGAGGCCAUGUCACGGAUUAUAUGUUUAAUUCUGGAGAAGUUGAACUGUGCUAAGACAAGAGAGGGCCUUUGACAGUUUAAAGCAAAGUCACAUGAUAUGGAGAAGUGAGAUGGAAGACAAGGAAUCUGUUAGAGAUUUAUUCCUCCCUGUCAUAGUUCUCUUAAAUGUCAAACUCAAAUUUCUAGCUGCUUACUAUGUCCAGAUUCCAUCAUGCUCAAAAUCAAUCCUGUCCCCUAUCCUGAAAAAUAGCACAGCCAUUCACUGAGUUCUUCAAGCUGAAAAUUAGUAAUUGUCUUUGAAUCCUUACCUUCUAGUAGCUCCUUCUUCCCUCACCUCCCUGGCCUUUCCCCCCCUCCCCCUUUCCACCCACCCUGUAGACCAACUGUUGCUCUCUGCUUCCAAAAUUCUGAACCUGACCUUUCUUCUCACUCACUACUGCCAUAGCCCUAACAGAACCCUCAUCUCCAUCCCCCUCACUUCCUCUUAAAAAAAAAAUAUCUGCUUGUAACAAAUCAAGGCUUCAUCCAGCUCCACUUGCCUUGGGGUCAGUAUCCACAUGCCCUUAUCUAGCAGAUUACACACUUCUUCCACAUUUCUAAUUCUGCUUCUAAAUUCUACUAAAAGGUGGUAUCAUCAUUUCAUUUUGACUUAAGAAAUUAACCUCUGUUGUGGAAACAACUAGUGACUGACCAAACACAUUUAAUUUUAUUGAGUGGAAUUGCAGAGAUUUCUUGUGGGAAAUUAACUCAGAAGAUUUCUUUCCAGUUGCAUCACCACCAGCUCCUUUGUAAUUAUGUGAACCAGCUGGAUAAAAGAAUAAAUUGCUUCUUCAAAUGUACUGGUGUCAUUUAACUAGGAGCUGCUUUCGUUGUAUUGAGUCAAAUAGCAAAGGUUAAAUGGGUACACAUUGGGGCCACUUUUAGCUAUCCUAUCCCAUUUUCAUUUCUCAGACUUUGGUUGCAGUUUUUACAUUUGGAAAGAGAUUUCAAAAAUACAGUGACAAAACGCUGCAGUUAUCUCUUGUUGUUAUAGAUGGCUGAUAUGGUAAAGCAUACCUGGCUCACUUCCUAGAUCAGUGCCUGUGGUCCUCAGCUUAACAAUAAAACAAUUUCAAAUUAAUAUAGCUUUUUUACUGAGCCAGUAGACAGUGGUCUUCUUAGCUGGGCUAUCUGAUAGCUUAUGAGUAUUCCAUUUAAGAAAAUGUACUAUAAAUGUGGAAAUGGAAUAGAUAAGUCAUUUCAGGGCAAACAGUAUAUCUACUUUUUAAAAGAACUCAAAUUAAGAUAUUUUUAUAGUUGUUUCAAAAAUAUCUAUUUAAUGUAAAUGUUACUGUUCUCCUUCAGAAAAUUCUAUGAGAGCUUAGUAACUACAAAUACCCAACUGAAAGACAACAGAACACUUUAAAUUUGGGGACAAUUUAUAAUUUCUUAUUCUUCCUUUUCUCUGUUAUGAUUCUGUUCUUUGUUUUAUCUAUUGUUAGAUUUAACACUUUCUUAAUUUUCCUUGUUUUAAUGUGUUCUGAAGGAAGUGACUCUCAGGUUUCUAUUAUAAAGUAUAUAAUACUUAUAUACUUUACUGUAAGUACAUAAAUGAGGGAAAAUCAAUUAUACAUUUGUAAAAAUAUCAAAGGCCUGGUGUUUAGAUAUUCAUGUUGUUUAUGUAUCAUAAUGAAAAUUAAAUCUAGCAAAUGAUAAAAUAAUAUAAAUAGGGAAAUUGCACAUUUAAAAUCUGCAUUUGUAUGGCAAAUCUAUUUUUUAUGUGAUUUUAAACUCCUGAAGAUUACAGUGAGAAGAGUUUAAUGAGAAACUGUUCAAAAGUGGAGCAGAGGUUGUAAAUUAUUCAGUAACUAUAUAUAUAUACAUAGGCACAAGUUGACCAUGUGUUUUCAAAAGAACUUCAGAUUGUCACUUAAAUUUUCUAUUUUGUGAUGUUUUGGCUUUAGUGUUUUUUAACCAUAUAUUUAGAUGCAAUAUUUGUAGAAUUUUUCAAUGAAUCGUUGCUUUCAUUGUAAAUUGGAGAAAUAAUCUCCCUUCCUUAGUUAGAAAAAAUAACAAUCCAUGAAGAAAUGAAUGUUGAUUUUUUUUUUUUUUUAAUGUCUUUCAGGCCUGAAGAUUAUCGGAUCUAGGAGAAGGAAAAUUACAGUGAAGUGAUUUAGGCUUCUUCCUGAUAAGUUUCUCUGCCUUAGAACAGUGAAACAACUGCUUCAGGAAACUGCACUAAGACUCGUUAUUUUAUGAAUUGUUUCAUUAUGUAAUGAUUGAAAUAAAACUGCUUCCUGGUAGGAAGUACCAAAACAAUGCCCAUCUCUGGA